GACGAACCGUGCGAACGUUAUUCGGAAUCACUGGGCUUAAAGCGCGUGUAGGCGGGCCGGCACGUCGGUCGCUGAAAUCCCGCGGCUCAACCGCGGAACGGGCGCCGAUACGACCGGCCUGGAGGGGGGUAGGGGGAGCCGGAACUUCCGGUGGAGCGGUGAAAUGCGUUGAGAUCGGAAGGAACGCCCGUGGCGAAAGCGGGCUCCUGGACCCCGCCUGACGCUGAGACGCGAAAGCCAGGGGAGCGAA
Molecule: ribosomal RNA, 250 nt
Filed under: uncultured bacterium
Lineage: Bacteria
Description: partial 16S ribosomal RNA
Rfam family: Bacterial small subunit ribosomal RNA
Source: RNAcentral